UACAGAGGGGGCAAGCGUUGUUCGGAAUUACUGGGCGUCAAGGGCGCGUAGGCGGCCUUCUAAGUCGAACGUGAAAUCCCUGGGCUCAACCCAGGAACUGCGUCCGAUACUGGAAGGCUUGAAUCCGGGAGAGGGAUGCGGAAUUCCAGGUGUAGCGGUGAAAUGCGUAGAUAUCGGGAGGAACAUCAGUGGCGAAGGCGGCUACCUGGCCCAAUACUGACACUCAGGUGCGACAGCGUGGGGAGCAAACAGG
Molecule: ribosomal RNA, 253 nt
Filed under: uncultured bacterium
Lineage: Bacteria
Description: partial 16S ribosomal RNA
Rfam family: Bacterial small subunit ribosomal RNA
Source: RNAcentral